AAACAUUAUGUACAUUUGGUAGUAACUAGUUUUAUUUGAGCUUAAGUUAUCUAAAUUAUAACUGGUGUAUGUAAACUUAUUCAUUGGCUUUUGCUGUAUCUAUUUAUAACUUAUAAAGUGCAUAAAGGAUUUAUAAUCUGGAUGCUUGACAGCCGAUUGAUUAAUUUGGUACAAUAUCUAUAGAUGUACCCGUAUUUCCCUGGGAAAAAAAAAAAGAGAAUAAAUAGUGUAUUAGAUUUUAAAGUCAUCUUCUUGCUUUGGAUUUAUCACUUGUAUAGUCAACAGUGAUAUGUUGAGGUGAAAUGUCUUUUGUAUAGUUUAUAAUAUGACUGUUUUCUAUAAUCCUUUUCAAGUAUGGCCUUUGUUACAGGAUGGACUUUUUAUUUAUUUAAUAAAUGAUCCAUUACAUAUUUAAUUAUCGUGCACAUCCCCUUCUUUUGAUAUUUAAAAUGACAUCAUUUUCAUUGUAUGUUAUUGAUUAUUGUUUUAUAUCAGCUGAAACUUAUGUCUUUUAUUCAUGAUUUUAAGAUUAAAUUUAUAAUUAAGUCCUUUUAAUUUUUGAGUUCCAAGACUAAGUCUCCUGGUUCAUUGGUGCAUUUCCCCAAAUCCAGAGCAAGAACCAGCUGCAUAAAGUGUUGCCAAUUUUGUCUGCUGGCUUCUUUGUUGCUUUCCACCAACAUUCUUUAGCUGGUUGCUUUUCUGUGGAUUCAAAGACAGAUAUUUACUCUGCGGCCACAUUCAAGAUGAAGAUUGGAAAGCUUAUCCCCUCUUAUUGUCAGGGUGGUACAACCUCAUACGGGGUGAAGUUCUUCAAUUUUCUACCGAUGGAAUUGGCAACUCAGAAAUUCGAACCCAAGUGUGUACAUUCAUCAUCCAAGUCCAGGGGCUCGUGUAUCUGGCUGCUGUCUGUAAUGAUGAACGCGGACAUUGCUUCUUUGGUCUCAGUGGCUCUUGGUCGUUUCUACCAUGGUUUUAUACGUAUAUUUAUUUAUUCUUGAUUGAGUUGUUCAGUUGAGAAUGAUUAAAAUAUUACAUAGUUGCCGUAUGGCAUUCCUAUACAUACAAUCAAGGUAUAAUAGCCUAACAGGACAAUUGAUCAGUACAAUUUUUUUGGGUACUAGAGUCCCUAGAAUGUAGGGGCUAGGACCCAGAGGGGAAGAGGAGAGACUAGGAGAAUAGAAAACGAAUGUUUCAUUUUAGGGUGUUGACCCCUACUGCAAAGCAAGAACACUGAAAUUUUGAUCUUAUUUUUCUCAUCCAAGAAAGGACUUAAAAUUGCUGAAA
This is a non-coding RNA of Cajanus cajan (pigeon pea), 1284 nucleotides long. The record is from RefSeq and is a predicted model, not a curated record. Lineage: Eukaryota; Viridiplantae; Streptophyta; Magnoliopsida; Fabales; Fabaceae.